This 472-nucleotide ribosomal RNA is filed under the name Salmonella enterica subsp. enterica serovar Anatum. RNAcentral's name for it is "partial 23S ribosomal RNA". It matches the Rfam family "Bacterial large subunit ribosomal RNA", at positions 1 to 503 of the family's 2925-position model. The record is from RNAcentral. Lineage: Bacteria; Pseudomonadati; Pseudomonadota; Gammaproteobacteria; Enterobacterales; Enterobacteriaceae.
GGGUUGUGAGGUUAAGCGACUAAGCGUACACGGUGGAUGCCCUGGCAGUCAGAGGCGAUGAAGGGCGUGCUAAUCUGCGAUAAGCGCCGGUAAGGUGAUAUGAACCGUUAUAACCGGCGAUACCCGAAUGGGGAAACCCAGUGUGAUUCGUCACACUAUCAUUAACUGAAUCCAUAGGUUAAUGAGGCGAACCGGGGGAACUGAAACAUCUAAGUACCCCGAGGAAAAGAAAUCAACCGAGAUUCCCCCAGUAGCGGCGAGCGAACGGGGAGGAGCCCAGAGCCUGAAUCAGCAUGUGUGUUAGUGGAAGCGUCUGGAAAGGCGCGCGAUACAGGGUGACAGCCCCGUACACAAAAGCGCAUGUGCUGUGAGCUCGAUGAGUAGGGCGGGACACGUGGUAUCCUGUCUGAAUAUGGGGGGACCAUCCUCCAAGGCUAAAUACUCCUGACUGACCGAUAGUGAACCAGUACCG